Molecule: ribosomal RNA, 348 nt
Filed under: uncultured bacterium
Lineage: Bacteria
Description: partial 16S ribosomal RNA
Rfam family: Bacterial small subunit ribosomal RNA
Source: RNAcentral
CCUACGGGAGGCUGCAGUGAGGAAUAUUGGUCAAUGGGCGCGAGCCUGAACCAGCCAAGUAGCGUGAAGGAUGACUGCCCUACGGGUUGUAAACUUCUGUUAUAAAGGAAUAAAGUGAGGCAAGUGUGCCUUUUUGUAUGUACUUUAUGAAUAAGGAUCGGAUAACUCCGUGCCAGCAGCCGCGGUAAGACGGAGGAUCCGAGCGUUAUCCGGAUUUAUUGGGUUUAACGGGAUCGUAGAUGGGUUGUUAAGUCAGUUGUGAAAGUUUGCGGCUCAACCGUAAAAUUGCAAUUGUUACUGGCAGCCUUGAGUACAGUUGAGGUAGUCGGAAUUCGUGGUGUAGCGGUG